GAGUCUUUUUUUCUAGGUUCUUUAUAAUACAAAUAUAUUUAAACACACAAAACAAUAAAGAGAUUCUAGGACGUUUACUCUGAAGAAAUUAGAGUGUUUAAGGCAGGCUUGUGCUUGAAUACACUAGCACGGAAUAAUAAAAUAAGACUUUGGUUUUAUUUUGUUGGUUUUAAAAACUAAAAGUAAUGAUUUAUAGGGAUAGUCGGGGGCGUUAGUAUUUAGUAGUCAGAGGUGAAAUUCUUGGAUUUACUAAAGACUAACUAGUGCGAAAGCAUUCGCCAAGGAUGUUUUCAUUGAUCAAGAACGAAAGUUAGGGGAUCGAAGACGAUCAGAGACCGUCGUAGUCUUAACCAUAAACUAUGCCGACUAGGGAUCGGUGGUGUCUUUAUGACGCAUCGGCACCUUAUGAGAAAUCAAAGUUUUUAGGUUCUGGGGGGAGUAUGGUCGCAAGGCUGAAACUUAAAGGAAUUGACGGAAGGGCACCCCCCGGAGUGGAGCCUGCGGCUUAAUUUGACUCAACACGGGGAAACUCACCAGGUCCAGACAUAGUAAGGAUUGACAGAUUGAUAGCUCUUUCAUGAUUCUAUGGGUGGUGGUGCAUGGCCGUUCUUAGUUGGUGGAGUGAUUUGUCUGGUUAAUUCCGAUAACGAACGAGACCUCAACCUCCUAAAUAGUUACGCUAACUUUUGGUGGCGGUAUAUAUAACUUCUUAGAGGGACGGACUA
RNAcentral lists this ribosomal RNA (725 nucleotides) under uncultured eukaryote. Its description in RNAcentral is "bacterial SSU rRNA". It matches the Rfam family "Eukaryotic small subunit ribosomal RNA", at positions 678 to 1426 of the family's 1831-position model. The record is from RNAcentral.